Molecule: ribosomal RNA, 918 nt
Filed under: Triticum aestivum (bread wheat)
Lineage: Eukaryota; Viridiplantae; Streptophyta; Magnoliopsida; Poales; Poaceae
Description: partial small subunit ribosomal RNA
Source: RNAcentral
AUGGAGCCUGACCAGAGUGGCACCGGGCAGACUUCUCCCCGCGGGAACGACUGGGAGGUCGUGCAGCUCACCGCUUCAAACUACGCUUCUGCACCUGGUCCGGCGAGAACUGAACCUUCCGACGAGGAGGCUGAAGGCCAGGUGUAUGACGCAGAGGGGGGUGAUUCCGCAGCCGCGUCGCUGCUCAUGUCUGGCCAUUUCUCGGUGCCGCAGAGUGAGGCUGAGAAACUCCUCAUGGAAGCUGAUACUAGCAUAUAUCAGCAGGAGGCGCGCGGCAGCCAGUAUGCAGUUUCUGACAAGGGUGGAGAUGGUAUGUACGAAGACCAGCAGGAGAAACUGAAGGACGACGGUCUUGACAGGAUCCCGUCCUUCGACAAAGGGAAAAGCCUUUCCCCUGUUGAUAUGGAGCCUGACGAUGGGAACGCAUUGCACAGCGUUAGUCAGGCUGGGGAAGACCCAGUUACAUUCUCAUCAUCUGGUUACAGUGCAACGGAGGCUGAGAAAGAAGUUACCGAGAGUGCCAAGGAGAAGACUGAAGAAAAUAUAACGCUCCAAAAUGUCGACCCUGUCACUGAUUCGUCCAAUGUUGUUGCUUCCGGUGAGGAGAGCAAGCCUGACGGUUCUGGAGCCCCACGCAAUGUGUGGUGGCAGAAGCAACUUAUAUCGCUCUACAGGAGCGCUAAAGAGAGCAACAAGCUCUGGCCUAUCGUUGUGGCUGCUGCCGCUUUGAUGGGGAUGGCAUAUUUCCGGCGGCGCUGGCAGAAGGGCAAGCUGCAGCUUCAGCAGGUCAAAUUGCAACCUGCCAGCAGCAAGGAGAGAAUCAACCAGGCCACCGUACCGCUUAACCGAAUCAAGGACAUUCUUGUCGCUGGCAACCACCCGAGUCCGGCUACUCAUGGAAAUGCUCGAUUGGGCUGA